CAGUCGCCACGGUAAUACCGAGGGUGCAAGCGUUAAUCGGAAUUACUGGGCGUAAAGCGCGCGUAGGUGGUUUGUUAAGUUGGAUGUGAAAUCCCCGGGCUCAACCUGGGAACUGCAUUCAAAACUGACUGACUAGAGUAUGGUAGAGGGUGGUGGAAUUUCCUGUGUAGCGGUGAAAUGCGUAGAUAUAGGAAGGAACACCAGUGGCGAAGGCGAUCACCUGGACUAAUACUGACACUGAGGUGCGAAAGCGUGGGGAGCAAACAGGAUUAGAUACCCCAGUAGUCCCUGUCUCUUAUAC
This 301-nucleotide ribosomal RNA is filed under the name uncultured bacterium. RNAcentral's name for it is "partial 16S ribosomal RNA". It matches the Rfam family "Bacterial small subunit ribosomal RNA", at positions 509 to 807 of the family's 1533-position model. The record is from RNAcentral.